CACGCCACCUCUAACGACCACCAGCGCAUGCGCAUGCUGAACCGAUGCAGCGAAACGGAGAACAAGUAGGUUCGUCGAGCACCAGAAAUGCGCGCGCGCAGCUAAGGCAGAAAUGGCAGAGGGACGGAUACCCGACUGCAAGAAACGAUCAACCACGCAGCGGCCCUGGUACCCGCCCGGCAAGGUUUGUGUGGUUCGAAGACGCUGCGGCUGCUGAACGAUCGCCCCGCCCGCUCACAGGAAAAUUCCAGCCGUAGUUUGUGGUGACACGCGUGCGUGUAAAUUAACUUUGUCUGAGUUCGUGACAGGAGCAACAAAUCAGCAGGUUAACAUCACUUCCGGUCCAAGUUGUUUGUAAUGAAAUCCGCUUGUGUUGUUCAACGUAGUGUGUAUUUCUUCUUCAAUACAUAAGACACUUUCCCCGACAGCUUCCGGGUAAACAUCCUCCCGAUCUCA
Molecule: long non-coding RNA, 456 nt
Organism: Pollicipes pollicipes
Lineage: Eukaryota; Metazoa; Arthropoda; Thecostraca; Pollicipedomorpha; Pollicipedidae
Exons: 3
Source: RefSeq, a predicted model, not a curated record